This 492-nucleotide ribosomal RNA is filed under the name uncultured bacterium. RNAcentral describes it as "partial 16S ribosomal RNA". It matches the Rfam family "Bacterial small subunit ribosomal RNA", at positions 29 to 507 of the family's 1533-position model. The record is from RNAcentral.
AGUGAACGCUGGCGGUAGGCCUAACACAUGCAAGUCGAACGGCAGCACAGUAAGAGCUUGCUCUUACGGGUGGCGAGUGGCGGACGGGUGAGGAAUACAUCGGAAUCUACUUUUUCGUGGGGGAUAACGUAGGGAAACUUACGCUAAUACCGCAUACGACCUACGGGUGAAAGCAGGGGAUCUUCGGACCUUGCGCGAUUGAAUGAGCCGAUGUCGGAUUAGCUAGUUGGCGGGGUAAAGGCCCACCAAGGCGACGAUCCGUAGCUGGUCUGAGAGGAUGAUCAGCCACACUGGAACUGAGACACGGUCCAGACUCCUACGGGAGGCAGCAGUGGGGAAUAUUGGACAAUGGGCGCAAGCCUGAUCCAGCCAUGCCGCGUGGGUGAAGAAGGCCUUCGGGUUGUAAGGCCCUUUUGUUGGGAAAGAAAAGCAGCAGGUUAAUACCCCGCUGUUCUGACGGUACCCAAAGAAUAAGCACCGGCUAACUUCGUG